This 117-nucleotide ribosomal RNA is filed under the name Sinocyclocheilus anshuiensis. Lineage: Eukaryota; Metazoa; Chordata; Actinopteri; Cypriniformes; Cyprinidae. The record is from RNAcentral.
GCCGGCAGCCAUAUCACCCUGCAGCCCAAGACUGGUCACCCACUGAAGCUAAGCAGGGUUGAGCCUGGUCAGUACCUGGAUGGGAGACAUCCUGGGAAAACUAGGUUGCUGCUGGAA